UGGUAUUCCGGUGCAGAGGCGUAGGGAAUACGGGGGAGCCGUGUGUUAUCCGGAUUUAUGGGGUUUAAAGGUGGCGGAGGCGGCUUUAUAAGUCAGGGGUGAAAGACGGCAGCUCAACUGUCGCAGUGCCUUUGAUACUGUAGAGCUUGAAUGUGGUUGAAGAUGGCGGAAUGAGACAAGUAGCGGUGAAAUGCAUAGAUAUGUCUCAGAACUCCGAUUGCGAAGGCAGCUGUCUAAGUCAUUAUUGACGCUGAUGCACGAAAGCGUGGGGAUCGAACAGGAUUAGAUACCCGUGUAGUC
RNAcentral lists this ribosomal RNA (300 nucleotides) under uncultured Sulfurovum sp. RNAcentral's name for it is "bacterial SSU rRNA". It matches the Rfam family "Bacterial small subunit ribosomal RNA", at positions 495 to 795 of the family's 1533-position model. The record is from RNAcentral. Lineage: Bacteria; Pseudomonadati; Campylobacterota; Epsilonproteobacteria; Campylobacterales; Sulfurovaceae.